Molecule: transfer RNA, 66 nt
Filed under: Dotilla wichmanni
Lineage: Eukaryota; Metazoa; Arthropoda; Malacostraca; Decapoda; Dotillidae
Description: tRNA-Tyr
Source: RNAcentral
UAAUAAAGGAGCAACAACUCGUCUAUAGAUUUACAAUCUACCGCUUAUUUCCUCAGCCACCUUAUC